This 1185-nucleotide ribosomal RNA is filed under the name Lactiplantibacillus plantarum. Its description in RNAcentral is "bacterial SSU rRNA". It matches the Rfam family "Bacterial small subunit ribosomal RNA", at positions 236 to 1414 of the family's 1533-position model. Lineage: Bacteria; Bacillati; Bacillota; Bacilli; Lactobacillales; Lactobacillaceae. The record is from RNAcentral.
CUCUAUUUACUAGAUGGUGGGGUAACGGCUCACCAUGGCAAUGAUACGUAGCCGACCUGAGAGGGUAAUCGGCCACAUUGGGACUGAGACACGGCCCAAACUCCUACGGGAGGCAGCAGUAGGGAAUCUUCCACAAUGGACGAAAGUCUGAUGGAGCAACGCCGCGUGAGUGAAGAAGGGUUUCGGCUCGUAAAACUCUGUUGUUAAAGAAGAACAUAUCUGAGAGUAACUGUUCAGGUAUUGACGGUAUUUAACCAGAAAGCCACGGCUAACUACGUGCCAGCAGCCGCGGUAAUACGUAGGUGGCAAGCGUUGUCCGGAUUUAUUGGGCGUAAAGCGAGCGCAGGCGGUUUUUUAAGUCUGAUGUGAAAGCCUUCGGCUCAACCGAAGAAGUGCAUCGGAAACUGGGAAACUUGAGUGCAGAAGAGGACAGUGGAACUCCAUGUGUAGCGGUGAAAUGCGUAGAUAUAUGGAAGAACACCAGUGGCGAAGGCGGCUGUCUGGUCUGUAACUGACGCUGAGGCUCGAAAGUAUGGGUAGCAAACAGGAUUAGAUACCCUGGUAGUCCAUACCGUAAACGAUGAAUGCUAAGUGUUGGAGGGUUUCCGCCCUUCAGUGCUGCAGCUAACGCAUUAAGCAUUCCGCCUGGGGAGUACGGCCGCAAGGCUGAAACUCAAAGGAAUUGACGGGGGCCCGCACAAGCGGUGGAGCAUGUGGUUUAAUUCGAAGCUACGCGAAGAACCUUACCAGGUCUUGACAUACUAUGCAAAUCUAAGAGAUUAGACGUUCCCUUCGGGGACAUGGAUACAGGUGGUGCAUGGUUGUCGUCAGCUCGUGUCGUGAGAUGUUGGGUUAAGUCCCGCAACGAGCGCAACCCUUAUUAUCAGUUGCCAGCAUUAAGUUGGGCACUCUGGUGAGACUGCCGGUGACAAACCGGAGGAAGGUGGGGAUGACGUCAAAUCAUCAUGCCCCUUAUGACCUGGGCUACACACGUGCUACAAUGGAUGGUACAACGAGUUGCGAACUCGCGAGAGUAAGCUAAUCUCUUAAAGCCAUUCUCAGUUCGGAUUGUAGGCUGCAACUCGCCUACAUGAAGUCGGAAUCGCUAGUAAUCGCGGAUCAGCAUGCCGCGGUGAAUACGUUCCCGGGCCUUGUACACACCGCCCGUCACACCAUGAGAGUUUG